AGCUACAUUCACUUUUGCGCCUGCUUUUUGGAUGCUCCUCUACUCGGAAAAUGUCGCGGAGACACGUGAUAUUUUUGGCCAGGAACUAAUAGAAAAAUGACCAAAAAGAAGACCAAAAACCGCAUAUGUAAAUAGUUGUAUCAUACAUGUUGUAACUGUUGUGGCACUUUAAGCAUCCCUUAAUGUGAUGCUCUCGUGAAUGCAAACAAUGUAUAUUUUGUUCAAUAUAUAUGUAAAUUAAGUGUGUAUUGCUUAGCA
Long non-coding RNA from Nicotiana attenuata, 258 nucleotides. RefSeq lists it as uncharacterized. The transcript has 2 exons. The record is from RefSeq and is a predicted model, not a curated record. NCBI's taxonomy places the organism in Eukaryota, Viridiplantae, Streptophyta, Magnoliopsida, Solanales, Solanaceae.